UACGUAGGGUGCAAGCGUUGUCCGGAAUUAUUGGGCGUAAAGAGCUCGUAGGCGGUUUGUUGCGUCGGCUGUGAAAUCCCGAGGCUCAACCUCGGGUCUGCAGUCGAUACGAGCAAACUAGAGUGUUGCAGGGGAGACUGGAAUUCCUGGUGUAGCGGUGAAAUGCGCAGAUAUCAGGAGGAACACCGGUGGCGAAGGCGG
Molecule: ribosomal RNA, 201 nt
Filed under: uncultured bacterium
Lineage: Bacteria
Description: partial 16S ribosomal RNA
Rfam family: Bacterial small subunit ribosomal RNA
Source: RNAcentral